Molecule: ribosomal RNA, 513 nt
Filed under: uncultured archaeon
Lineage: Archaea
Description: bacterial SSU rRNA
Rfam family: Archaeal small subunit ribosomal RNA
Source: RNAcentral
AACCUUUGCAAUGUGCGAAAGCACGACAAGGUUAAUCCGAGUGAUUCCUGCUAAAGGAAUCUUUUGUUAGUCAUAAAACCACUGAUGAAUAAGGGGUGGGCAAGUUCUGGUGUCAGCCGCCGCGGUAAUACCAGCACCUCGAGUGGUCAGGAGGUUUAUUGGGCCUAAAGCAUCCGUAGCCGGCUGCUCAAGUUUCCGGUUAAAUCCACACGCUUAACGUAUGGGCUGCCGGAAAUACUGUUCAGCUAGGGAGUGGGAGAGGUAGACGGUACUCGAUAGGAAGGGGUAAAAUCCUUUGAUCUAUUGAUGACCACCUGUGGCGAAGGCGGUCUACCAGAACACGUUCGACGGUGAGGGAUGAAAGCUGGGGGAGCAAACCGGAUUAGAUACCCGGGUAGUCCCAGCUGUAAACGAUGCAGACUCGGUGAUGCAUUGGCUUAUGGCCAGUGCAGUGCCGCAGGGAAGCCGUUAAGUUUGCCGCCUGGGAAGUACGUACGCAAGUAUGAAACUUAA